RNAcentral lists this ribosomal RNA (254 nucleotides) under Iamiaceae bacterium. RNAcentral describes it as "partial 16S ribosomal RNA". It matches the Rfam family "Bacterial small subunit ribosomal RNA", at positions 524 to 776 of the family's 1533-position model. Lineage: Bacteria; Bacillati; Actinomycetota; Acidimicrobiia; Acidimicrobiales; Iamiaceae. RNAcentral also lists the same sequence under 1 other name. The record is from RNAcentral.
UACGUAGGGGGCAAGCGUUGUCCGGAUUUAUUGGGCGUAAAGAGCUCGUAGGCGGCUCGGUAAGUCGGAUGUGAAACCUCCAGGCUCAACCUGGAGACGCCAUCUGAUACUGCCGUGGCUCGAGUCCGGUAGAGGAGCAGGGAAUUCCUGGUGUAGCGGUGAAAUGCGCAGAUAUCAGGAGGAACACCAGCGGCGAAGGCGCUGCUCUGGGCCGGUACUGACGCUGAGGAGCGAAAGCGUGGGGAGCGAACAGG